CGUCUGGCUUGGCCGGGGCGCUUGGCGUGCCCUACACCCGAAAUCGUCAAUACGCGGGGGCGACAGCAGGGGACGGCCCCGCUGAACUACCAAGCCCAUCGAGUGACAAUGAGAUCUUGUCCUGUAGAGUCGGAGUCGGUAAAGAAGACGGCCGGAGGGUCGUUGUUCGUACCUCAUUGGGGAAACCGGGUCAGGUCCUGACGGGAGCAGCCUUACUCUGAGCUGCCGACGUUUACGGGAAAGCAGGGUUGAGGAGCGGAAUGGCAAACUUGGUUUGGGAGGAGAGGACAACUUCUGUGGCCAGGCG
Molecule: signal recognition particle RNA, 307 nt
Filed under: Thermoplasmata archaeon
Lineage: Archaea; Methanobacteriati; Thermoplasmatota; Thermoplasmata
Also listed under: 1 other name
Description: signal recognition particle sRNA
Rfam family: Archaeal signal recognition particle RNA
Source: RNAcentral